Molecule: ribosomal RNA, 253 nt
Filed under: uncultured bacterium
Lineage: Bacteria
Description: partial 16S ribosomal RNA
Rfam family: Bacterial small subunit ribosomal RNA
Source: RNAcentral
UACAGGGGGUGCAAACGUUGCUCGGAAUCAUUGGGCGUAAAGCGCACGUAGGCGGUUCGUUAUGUCGGAUGUGAAAGCCCUUGGCUUAACCGAGGAAGUGCAUCCGAAACUGGCGAGCUAGAGUACUAAAGAGGAUCGCGGAAUUCCCGGUGUAGAGGUGAAAUUCGUAGAUAUUCGCAAGAACACCAGUGGCGAAGGCGGCUUACUGGUCCGGUUCUGACGCUGAGGCGCGAAAGCGUGGGGAGCAAACAGG